CACGCAGUAAACGAUGAGCACUGACUGUGCGGGGCGAACGGGCCCUGCGCGGUAAAGCGAAAGCGUUAAGUGCUCCACCUGGGGAGUACGCCGGCAACGGUGAAACUCAAAGGAAUUGACGGGGGCCCGCACAAGCGGAGGAACAUGUGGUUUAAUUCGAUGAUACGCGAGGAACCUUACCCGGGCUUGAAUUGCAACCGAAUAAGCGAGAGAUCGUUUAGCCGCAAGGCGGUUGUGAAGGUGC
Molecule: ribosomal RNA, 244 nt
Filed under: uncultured bacterium
Lineage: Bacteria
Description: partial 16S ribosomal RNA
Rfam family: Bacterial small subunit ribosomal RNA
Source: RNAcentral